GAGGAGACUAUAAGUCUCCUGAAGGAACGUUGAAGACGACGACGUUGAUAGGUCGGGUGUGUAAGCGCAGCGAUGCGUUGAGCUAACCGAUACUAAUGAACCGUGAGGCUUAACCUU
RNAcentral lists this ribosomal RNA (117 nucleotides) under Enterobacter kobei. Its description in RNAcentral is "partial 23S ribosomal RNA". It matches the Rfam family "Bacterial large subunit ribosomal RNA", at positions 2815 to 2925 of the family's 2925-position model. The record is from RNAcentral. Lineage: Bacteria; Pseudomonadati; Pseudomonadota; Gammaproteobacteria; Enterobacterales; Enterobacteriaceae.